GAACGCUGGCGGCGUGCUAAUACAUGCAAGUAGAACGCUGAAGAGAGGACUUGCUCUUCUUGGAUGAGUUACGAACGGGUGAGUAACGCGUAGGUAACCUGCCUUGUAGCGGGGGUUAACUAUUGGAAACGAUAGCUAAUACCGCAUAACAAUGGGUGACACAUGUCAUUUAUUUGAAAGGGGCAAUUGCUCCACUACAAGAUGGACCUGCGUUGUAUUAGCUAGUAGGUGAGGUAACGGCUCACCUAGGCGACGAUACAUAGCCGACCUGAGAGGGUGAUCGGCCACACUGGGACUGAGACACGGCCCAGACUCCUACGGGAGGCAGCAGUAGGGAAUCUUCGGCAAUGGGGGCAACCCUGACCGAGCAACGCCGCGUGAGUGAAGAAGGUUUUCGGAUCGUAAAGCUCUGUUGUAAGUCAAGAACGAGUGUGAGAGUGGAAAGUUCACACUGUGACGGUAGCUUACCAGAAAGGGACGGCUAACUACGUGCCAGCAGCCGCGGUAAUACGUAGGUCCCGAGCGUUGUCCGGAUUUAUUGGGCGUAAAGCGAGCGCAGGCGGUUUGAUAAGUCUGAAGUUAAAGGCUGUGGCUCAACCAUAGUUCGCUUUGGAAACUGUCAAACUUGAGUGCAGAAGGGGAGAGUGGAAUUCCAUGUGUAGCGGUGAAAUGCGUAGAUAUAUGGAGGAACACCGGUGGCGAAAGCGGCUCUCUGGUCUGUAACUGACGCUGAGGCUCGAAAGCGUGGGGAGCGAACAGGAUUAGAUACCCUGGUAGUCCACGCCGUAAACGAUGAGUGCUAGGUGUUGGAUCCUUUCCGGGAUUCAGUGCCGCAGCUAACGCAUUAAGCACUCCGCC
RNAcentral lists this ribosomal RNA (858 nucleotides) under uncultured Streptococcus sp. Its description in RNAcentral is "bacterial SSU rRNA". It matches the Rfam family "Bacterial small subunit ribosomal RNA", at positions 31 to 873 of the family's 1533-position model. The record is from RNAcentral. Lineage: Bacteria; Bacillati; Bacillota; Bacilli; Lactobacillales; Streptococcaceae.